GCGCGUGUCGCCCAACUCGGCAGAGGCGGCGGUCUUAAAUCCCGCUCGGUGAGAGUUCGAAUCUCUCCACGCGCAUCA
Molecule: transfer RNA, 78 nt
Filed under: Acidobacteriota bacterium
Lineage: Bacteria; Pseudomonadati; Acidobacteriota
Description: Acidobacteria bacterium tRNA-Leu
Rfam family: tRNA
About the family: Transfer RNA (tRNA) molecules are approximately 80 nucleotides in length. Their secondary structure includes four short double-helical elements and three loops (D, anti-codon, and T loops).
Source: RNAcentral